Molecule: long non-coding RNA, 1200 nt
Organism: Salmo salar (Atlantic salmon)
Lineage: Eukaryota; Metazoa; Chordata; Actinopteri; Salmoniformes; Salmonidae
Source: RefSeq, a predicted model, not a curated record
UGUUGACAUUGGAUAGAGAUUGAAAAGUGAUAGUUCAGCAUUUUUGUUGUUGAUAUUAUUCAAAUUCGUUUAUUCAAAUUACAGGAGACGGAGGAUGUAGAUUAUAAAUAGUUUUCUUGGUUUUGUAACUUUCUUUUUGUGUCCAGUUAGUGUAAUUUAUUUCAAUUUGCCUUGCUAACUUCAGUUACCAGCUCGAGUGUGCAGUUUUCGCCGCCAACACUACCACAAAUUUCGUUGACUUUUUGUUGAAGAAUGUAUUUAAUUCUCUUGGGUACACGGAAAAGGUGCGAUUUAAAACCGAGCGUUGACCUCUGCCUGGGAUUAGUUUCAUGAAGAAGGAUGAAAAGGUGAGGGCGUUCAGUACCAACUGGUAUCAAAGCUAAGUCCCCUCCUGUUCCCUGACUAAGUGAUGACCACUCCACUACCAUUAUCAACUCUCUCCUGCCAUGAACUGAAGCCACGUCUCAUGUGCCCGCUCAUCCACUGGCACAUUUUAUGUUUCCUCUCUAAGCACUAUGGUCAAAUCCUGCAUUGAAGUCAAAACUCUGAACACCUCAACUCAUGCCUCAUACCCUCAUUCAAUCACUGCUGUGGUCCCUUCCCAAAACGGUUCCAGCUCUGAUCCAAUGCAGUGUAUGGAGAGCAGUGCCCCCUGCUAGUUGAUCGUCAGAACAGCUGCCAAUGACUGGACCUGGACCAGGUCAGCAUUAUCUCCAGCUGGACAACUGGACUGGAUCAGGUCAUCCUCUACAGCUGGAAGAGCAGGACCACACCAGUGUUCUCCCAGCAGCAUCUGCUCUUCCAGACCACACAGAGCAUCUGGAGCUCAGAGACACCUGUCAUCAUCAUUGACCUCCGAUCCCCAGCUGGAGCGCCGCUCUGGAAACACUGGGGAGGGCCCUGCCGUGUUCUCCCAGCAGCACCUGCUCUUCCAGACCACACAGAGCAUCUGGAGCUCAAGGACACCUGUCAUCAUCAUUGACCUCCAGCUUGAGCGCCGCUCUGGAAUAUUAGGAGGGUGUUCUUAAUGUUUUGUACACUGUGUAUAUAUACAAACGUAUGUGGAUACCCCUUCAAAUUAGUGGGGGUUUGGCUAUUUCAGCCACACCCUUUGUUGACAGGUAUAUCAAAUUGAGCACACAGCCAUGCAAUCUCCAUAGGGAAAACAUUGGCAGCAGAAUGGCCCGUACUGAAGAGCUC